CAAAGUCGGUAUGAGCAGU
This 19-nucleotide microRNA is filed under the name Chiloscyllium plagiosum (whitespotted bambooshark). RNAcentral's name for it is "microRNA PC-5p-61053_14". The record is from RNAcentral. Lineage: Eukaryota; Metazoa; Chordata; Chondrichthyes; Orectolobiformes; Hemiscylliidae.